UCGAGGAUCUUCGGCAAUGGGCGAAAGCCUGACCGAGCGACGCCGCGUGCGGGAUGAAGGCCCUCGGGCUGUAAACCGCUGUCAGUGGGGAGGAAGGCUCUGUGAAGAGCAGGGUUUGACCUAUCCGCAGAGGAAGUCCGGGCUAAGUUCGUGCCAGCAGCCGCGGUAACACGAACCGGACAAACGUUAUUCGGAAUCACUGGGCUUAAAGGGUGCGUAGGCGGCCUGACAAGUUGGGUGUGAAAUCCCUCGGCUCAACCGAGGAAGUGCGCUAAAAUGUGUUGGGCUCGAGGGAGUUAGAGGUGAGGGGAACUUAGGGUGGAGCGGUGAAAUGCGUUGAUAUCCUAAGGAACACCAGUGGCGAAAGCGGCUUACUGGAGCUCUUCUGACGCUGGGGCACGAGAGCUGGGGGAG
Molecule: ribosomal RNA, 414 nt
Filed under: uncultured bacterium
Lineage: Bacteria
Description: bacterial SSU rRNA
Rfam family: Bacterial small subunit ribosomal RNA
Source: RNAcentral